RNAcentral lists this ribosomal RNA (524 nucleotides) under uncultured bacterium. Its description in RNAcentral is "partial 16S ribosomal RNA". It matches the Rfam family "Bacterial small subunit ribosomal RNA", at positions 28 to 523 of the family's 1533-position model. The record is from RNAcentral.
GACGAACGCUGGCGGCGUGCUUAACACAUGCAAGUCGAACGAGACGAUUGAAAGCUUGCUUUUAAAAGUCGAGUGGCAAACGGGUGAGUAACGCGUAGACAACCUGCCUUUGAGAUGGGGACAACAGUUCGAAAGGACUGCUAAUACCGAAUGUUGUAUAUUUUCCACAUGGAAGAUAUAUUAAAGAUGGCCUCUAUUUAUAAGCUAUCGCUAAAAGAUGGGUCUGCGACUGAUUAGCUGGUUGCUGGGGUAACGGCCUACCAAGGCGACGAUCAGUAGCCGGUCUGAGAGGAUGAACGGCCACAUUGGGACUGAGACACGGCCCAGACUCCUACGGGAGGCAGCAGUGGGGAAUCUUCCACAAUGGACGAAAGUCUGAUGGAGCAACGCCGCGUGAGUGAAGAAGGGUUUCGGCUCGUAAAGCUCUGUUGUCGGGGACGAAUGUGCAGUAUUUGAAUAAAAUACUGCAAUGACGGUACCUGACGAGGAAGCCACGGCUAACUACGUGCCAGCAGCCGCAGUAA